This 77-nucleotide transfer RNA is filed under the name Candidatus Woesebacteria bacterium RIFOXYA1_FULL_38_9. RNAcentral's name for it is "tRNA-Val". It matches the Rfam family "tRNA". From Rfam's summary of the family: Transfer RNA (tRNA) molecules are approximately 80 nucleotides in length. Their secondary structure includes four short double-helical elements and three loops (D, anti-codon, and T loops). The record is from RNAcentral. Lineage: Bacteria; Candidatus Woeseibacteriota.
GAACUCGUAGCUCAGUUGGUUAGAGCGUUCGCUUGACGUGCGAAAGGUCACAGGUUCGAGCCCUGUCGAGUUCACAA